GUUUCUUUACCAAGUUAUCAUCUCAGGUUGCUAAAGAUUCAGUCUUUUGAGUUUGUUGAUGUUUGUUGCAGGAAAGAAAACAGAGACGCAAGAUUUAACGAGUUCCCAUGACCAAAUCAGUCAUAGUACGUCUCGGAGAGUCUCAACCAACUCUCAAGGCACUAAGAUCAGUAUCCGGAUGUUACAACCUCACACUUAGCUCACAAGUCUCUCACCCCCACCCAAGAAUCCACUCUAGAUGUUUUUACCAAGAAGAACAAGAAGAUAAGUGAAAACCCUCAACCCCUGUUUUCUCUCAAACUCUCUCUAGAACUCUCUCUCUCAGAUGAAUACAAAACUUGCUUAACCUGCAAGCUGAAUGCUGCUUUCCUUUUAAUCUGUGCCAAGCCAUUCUCUGCAGGUGCUAGGAGACAAAACAGUACUACACACAUCCUGCCUCUGCACCAAAACGAUCCCUCACAUUGCCGUUUCUUUCUCUUGGGCUCAAGUCAACAGCAGACUCCGAUUGGGCCUUUACCGGCCCAUUCCCUUAGACUCAAACCCAGCCCGUCUAAAGUCCAAUCACCUGAAACGACAAUCUCCAUCUUGAUUGCCUUUAGACGACACAACCGAAGAGUUUACCCUCUCCAGUCAAUUUCCCCGACGAUUCACCUCGCCGGAGACCUAGCCCCUUCACCAGACUAGUGGUGGUGCCGAAGCACCUUCAAGUCACUCAACGCAUCAUCAAAUUUCUUCACAGGUACUGAUUUUGUGAGUAUAUCAGCCGGAUUCUCUUUGGUGUUUAUCUUAAUGACUUUUAGAGUUCCUUCCUCGAUCUCAUCUCUGAUAAAAUGAAAUCGCCUCCUGAUGUGUUUCGUACGCUCAUGAUGAACAUUGUUCUUUGCCAAACAGAUUGCACUUUGGGAGUCGCAGAAGAUCUCUGUUGCAUGUUGCGGAUAACCAAGCUCUUCUGCGAUUUGCGACAGCCACAGCGCUUCCUUUGCUGCCUCAGACAACGCCAUGUACUCUGCUUCCGUUGUGGAUAGAGCUACAACCUGUUGAAGCCCAGAUCUCCAGCUUACCGUGUUCUCACCUACUUGAAACACAUACCCGGUAAUUGAUCUGCUUCUAUCCAGAUCUGCUGAAUGAUCACUAUCACAAUAGCCUCUUACUUUGAAAUCCUUAGACUUUGUGAAUGUUAGCUUAUAGUCUGUUGUGCCUCUGAUGUAUCUAAGUAUCCAUUUCACUGCAGACCAAUGCUCUCUGUUGGGACAGCUCAUGAACCGACUCACCAAGCCAAUUGCAUAUGCUAUAUCUGGUCUUGUUCCAACCAUGGAGUACAUCAAACUCCCCACAGCACUUGCAUAAGGUAUGUUCUCCAUUUCAGCCUCUGCUUCAGCUUUGUCUUCUGGUUUGGUGCUAGAAAGUUUGAAAUGAGAACCUAUAGGUGUCAUCACUGCUUUACUUUCCAGCAUGUUAAAGUUCCUGAUCACUUUCUCCAGAUACCUUUGCUGAGACAACUGUAAUAUACCCUUUUCCCUGUCUCGAGUAAUGUCAAUUCCCAGAAUCCUGCUAGCCUUUCCCAUGUCCUUCAUAUCAAAUUCAUCUCCCAUAACCUUUUUCAACUUAGCAAUCUCUUCCUUAGCCUUAGCUGCAAUCAGCAUGUCAUCCACAUACAAGAGUAGGUAGAUGUAGUCUCCUUCACUUAGGCAUUUGAAAUACACGCAAGGAUCAUAGCUGCUUCUUGUGUAUUUCUGAGAUUUCAUGAACUGAUUGAACCUCCUGUUCCAUUGUCUAGGAGCUUGUUUCAACCCGUAUAGAAAUUUCUUUAGCAAACAUACCUUGUCUCCUUUUACAAAACCUUCUGGCUGUUCCAUGUAGAUUUCUUCUUCUAGAUCACCAUGUAGAAAAGCUGUCUUCACAUCUAGCUGUUCUAACUCCAUGUCUUGAUAAACCACCAUAGAGAGUACCAAUCUUAUAGUUAUGUGUUUAACUACAGGAGCAAACACCUCAUGAUAGUCAAUCCCUUCUAUCUGAGAGAAACCCUUUGCAACCAGUCUAGCCUUGUAUCUAGGAUCCUCACCGUCUGUUAAACCUUGUUUCAACUUGAAGACCCAUUUACAACCAAUUACUUUUCUGUCUUUUGGCCUAUCCACCAGGAUCCAUGUAUGAUUUUUCAGAAGUGACUCCAUCUCUUCAUCUGAUGCUAAUAUCCAUUUAUCUCUUUCCUUGCAGUUCAUUGCUUCAUGAAAACUUUCAGGCUCAUCAAGAUCAAUGAUAUGAGACAUUACCAGAGCAUAGAUAGCCACAUUACCAUGAUCAUAUCUGCUAGGAGGUCUGAUGUUUUGUCUCAUGUUUCUGUCUCUUGCUAGCAGAUAAGUGUCAAGAUCCUGUCCAGAUCCAUCCUCUGAUGUAUCUUCUUCUUCUUCUAUUAUUUCAGGAUCUACCAUGGCUCCAUCUUCAGUGGCUCCAUCUUCAGUUACCACUGAUGGAAUUUCCUGUUCUUGAGGAGAUUCCCCAGAGGAUUCUCCUCCUUCUAAUGUGGCUCCAUCUGCAGCUUCUGUAACCUCUGUUUGCAGCUCAAAGGUUACACUCUUUCCCUUCUUCUUAGAUACCUCUUUCUCUGUUUCAGACAUUUUCUCUAUAUCUCUGUAUAGAAUGUCUUCAUUGAAUGUUACAUCACGACUCACAAUGCAUUUCUUAUCCUCAAUACUCCAAAUUCUGUAACCCUUAACUCCUUGUGGAUACCCCAUAAACACUCCCUUCUUUGCUCUUGGUUUAAGUUUACCCUGCUCAACAUGAUAGUAAGCAAGGCAACCAAACCUCUUCAUGUGACUGUACUCAGGUUCUCUUCCUGUGUAAACUUGUUCAGGUACCUUUAAGUCCAACGGAGCUGAUGGAGUCCUGUUUAUGAUAUACACAACAGUAGAUGAAGCUUCUGCCCAGAAUCUUUCUCCCAAACCAGUUUCACUCAGCAAGCUUCUUACUUUCUCAAGAAUGAUCCUAUUCAGCCUCUCUGCAACUCCAUUUUGCUGUGGAGUAUAAGGACAUGUCCUGUGCCUCAUAAUCCCCCUUUCUUUGCAAUAGUCAUCAAAGGUUUUAUUGCAGUAUUCUAAUCCAUUGUCUGUUCUUAGAAUUUUCAGCUUCUUCCCACUCUGAUUUUCAACUAAUGCAAGCCAUUCAGCAAACUUUGCAAAGGCUUCAUCUUUCGUCUUUAAGAAGUAGAUCCAGACCUUUCUAGAGAAGUCAUCUACAAAGGAAAUGUAGUAUUGACAUUUACUCAAGCUCAAAGUCACAUUUGGAGAACCCCAAAGAUCUGAAUGAACAUACUCUAGAACUUCCUGAGAGGUAUGUUUUCCUGUCUUGAAUGGGGUUUUAUGAGAUUUCCCAUAUAUGAAGUGUUCACACAUUUUCAACUCUGAAAUGCCAUCCCCAUUAAGUAACUUCUUCUGAACCAUGAUUUUCAGGUUCUUGGCACUCAUGUGGCCUAGUCUGCUAUGCCACAACUGUAUGCCUUCAGGUGUGCUUACUGCUGCAUUUGCCUGCGCCAGCCUAGCUUCCCCAUCAAGGAUGUAGAGAGUGCCCUUGUAGUCUCCUGCUAGCACCUCUCUGUCUCCUUUGAACACUCGCAGCCUGUAGUCCUUUGACCCAAAGCUGUAGCCAAGUGUUUCCAAUUGUCCCAAAGAGAUAAGAUUCCUUCUAGCUGUUUUUGAGUAUCUCACAUUAGAUAGAAUGACUUCACUUCCAUCAUAAUUGACAAAUCUGAUCUUCCCUAUUGUAGAGAUUUCACAGAAUGUGUCAUUUCCCAUGAGAAUUCUUCCCCCAUCAACUUCUUCCACAUCAAACAUCAGAUCUUUGUUCAUUGUCAUGUGGUAAGAGCAGCCAGAAUCUAGUACCCAGCCUUCCCUCGAGCCUCCAUGAGAUACAGUGAGCAUCAUUGGUUCUGCAUCCAUAGCUUGAGCUAGACUGGCUUCUCCCUUUUGACUUGUUCCAGCCUGGUAUUUCUUGGGACAAUCUUUCUUUAAGUGUUCUUCACUUCCACAAAUCCAACAAGCUCUCUUCUUCUUUGGUUUAGAUUUGCUUCUACUGGAUUUGCCCUUUGACUGACCCCUCUUCUCUGAUCUUCCUCUUGCCUGUACCAGCAACCCCUCAUCAGCAGGCUUUACUGAUAUCAGUCCCUUCUGCUUGAGCUCCAAUUCAAUAAAGUAAGCAGAUCUGAUUAUCUCCUUGGUGGUGAUGGUAUCUUUGGUACUGCUGUACUUCAGAGUAUGAACCAGGUGAUCAUACUUUUUAGGUAAGCUGUUCAUGAGUACUGCAGCCUUGUCCUCUUCUCUCAUUUCAGCAUUCAUACUAGAGAGAUCUAACACCAGUUUGUUAAAGUUGUCCAGAUUCUUGUCUAGACUCUGAUCCUCCUCCAUCUUGAAGCUGAAGAACCUUUGCUUCAAGUAAAAGCGAUUUGGCAAGGUCUGUGCUUGGUACUCAUUCUCUAGAGCUUUCCACAUAUCAUAUGCAGUAGGCUCUGUCAUCACCUUCCUCAGAACUGGGUCUGUCAAAGCAUGCCCCAGGAGGUUUCUAACCCUUUGAUCUUUCUCUUUCCAUAAUGGAUCUGGCUUCUCUCCCUCUUUAACAGGUUCCUUUGGUUUGAGCAGAGCACUGAAACCCAGAAUCUCCAGCUGACCAACCAUUUUGUGCUUCCAGAGAGUAAAGUCACCAUCACCAUCAAACUUAUCAACCUCAAACCGACCUUUGGUAGGUUCCAGCGUCUUUACUUCUGAAUCCGACAUCAAAGAUCCCACCUUUUCAGAUAAAAUCACCAAAGCUCACACCUUUUCUACUUUAGUCCUCUGAAGAACCUUAGAAAUAGCCUCAAAGACUCACAAAACACAACAAAGUGAAGAAAUGAGCCUUAAAGGUGGUACCUUUCUUCUAUUCAACAUAUAACACCUUUAGAAUAUCUUAAAGCUUUCAAAGAUUGAAACUUUAUUACCUUCCUGAGUCUCUGGUAACCUGUGCUCUGAUACCACUGUUAGUUUCUUUACCAAGUUAUCAUCUCAGGUUGCUAAAGAUUCAGUCUUUUGAGUUUGUUGAUGUUUGUUGCAGGAAAGAAAACAGAGACGCAAGAUUUAACGAGUUCCCAUGACCAAAUCAGUCAUGGUACGUCUCGGAGAGUCUCAACCAACUCUCAAGGCACUAAGAUCAGUAUCCGGAUGUUACAACCUCACACUUAGCUCACAAGUCUCUCACCCUCACCCAAGAAUCCACUCUAGAUGUUUUUACCAAGAAGAACAAGAAGAUAAGUGAAAACCCUCAACCCCUGUUUU
Molecule: long non-coding RNA, 5300 nt
Filed under: Arabidopsis lyrata
Lineage: Eukaryota; Viridiplantae; Streptophyta; Magnoliopsida; Brassicales; Brassicaceae
Description: long non-coding RNA (ALYR_LNC001039)
Source: RNAcentral